UAAAUGUCUACCUAUAUAUCAGUGUGCUUAAAGACAACAGUAAACAAUUGCCUAGUCUUUUUGCAACCUUGCAUUCUAUUUUUGGUUAAACAUCGGUGUUCCAAUUUAUUUUCUGUUGUUGAAUGUUACGUAUUCUUACGUUGAGUUUCGUUUGUUUAUAUAUCGAAUAUAUGCAUUCGAUUUAUCUCCCUUAUAUUGUUAAAAACAAUCGUUAAAUCUAAUUUGCAAUUCAUUUGAUUGAUUGUUGAAUGUUUAACGUUCUGUUGCAAGUAUUCCAUGCUUU
This 283-nucleotide long non-coding RNA is filed under the name Mytilus galloprovincialis (Mediterranean mussel). Lineage: Eukaryota; Metazoa; Mollusca; Bivalvia; Mytilida; Mytilidae. The record is from RNAcentral.